AAAUUAUUUUAUCUAAAUAAUUUAAACUUAACUAGACAUCUCUAAGUUACAGGACUUUAACUUUUUAGUAUUUAUGAACAUGUUAUCCUCAAAGAGCAAAAACUGUUAAAUUUACUACAUUUGUUUGCUAGUUAUUUACAUCCCGGAUUUUAUUUUUCAUUAAACUGUACGGGUACUUUAGCAGUUAUUAGGAAAUGUUAUUGGUUUGUUAUUCCCAAGAUAAUGUCAGACAUAGCUCUACUUUAUGUGAGCUAAUUUAGUCAGACCUAAGAUUAGCCAGGGUCAGUUGUAGAAACCGAGAGAGAGCUGGCGGAGAUAUGUUUGUUUGUGUGUGUGUGUGUGUGUGUACACUGCCUGGCCAAAACAAAGUCACCACCUGGAUUUAACUAAGCAGGUACGAGCUUCCUAUUGGAUAACUGCUUUAUAGACGACUAUUUUUCAGCUGCCACAAGUUAUUCAACCCCAACUGGUGUGUCUCAUUUCGUAAACAGCCACGUGGAAAGACACAUCUGGUGAUGGAAAAGAUGUUAGUCUGUGUGAGAAGGGUCAGAUCAUUGGCAUCAGGCAGAGAACACAUCUAAGGAGAUGCAGAAAUGACUAAAACUGGAUAAGAACUGCCCAACGUGUUAUUAAAAACUGGAAGGUUAGUGGGGACCCAUCAACCAUGAGGAACAAAUGUGGCCCAAAAAUUGUGAAUGAUCAUGAUCAGCAAUCACUUAAACGGAAGCUUUGCAACGUUUUCAUAUUUUUAAAUAAUUGUCUUGAGCAAGUAUGUUCUGAAAUGACCCUUUAAAGGGUUAGUGAAAAGUCACCUAGGCUCCUCCGCCCCCUGUGGCCAGAAUACCACAUUUGCAACGUCAGAGUAUCCGAACCAAUCCCCUGAAGGCACAUAUCUCAUGCAAAGCAGUAAAUUUUUACAGAAAUUCAUGUUUACAACCAAGUAAAACGAGCUAUACCUGUUUAUCCUUUAUUGUAACAUGGUCGUCAUGGUGGAGCCUCAGAGGAGACAAAGAAAACAUUUAUCUAAUGAAGUUAAAAAGAAUGUCCGACCACAAUAGCAGUCAAACAAGAGUCAACAUUGGGACUUUUCUGAAUCAUGAGAGCUCGAAGACAAAUAAUGAUUCAAACUGGAGGCAGACCUAUUGAUCAUCCUAUUGUGCUUGAUCAGUCCUCCACAGAGAAGUGAACCUGUUGAUAACUGAGCUGCCGUCCCAUACAGUUUGGUUUAUUUCUGAUCCAGUCUAGUGCUUUAUCAUUCUUAUAAAUUAAAAAGCCAACUGUUAAAUAAACUCCACAACAUUUAUGUCUUAUUUUUUUAUCAAGUCAACCACUCCGUGCCAUCUAGCUGUUAAUGCAGACUUAAGGAUGCCCUUCAUUUGUAUGGUUGGAUACUUCAGCACUUGAGUUUUUAAUUGAAUUCAUGUGCAGUUAAACAGCACUGAGGAAUUGAUUAUUUCCUGAUGAUGAAUGACAAGAUUCAGAACCCAGUUCUUCAAACAGUCUUGUUAAUAAGAGGCAAAGAUUCUAAGUUUGAUGCUCUGCUAUUGUCAUUAGCUAGAACUUCAGUAACAGUGACGUUAAGCAAGUUGGGUCCAUUUAUCUUGAUGCUUCUACAUUCAUUAAUCAUCUGGUAGGACAGCGGUUGUACUAAGGCAGGUGAAACAGAGUUCCAGGUAUUCAGGCUGCUGCUCUGGGGGAGAGGAUGCUGGCGUUUGUUGUUCACCACGUCUUUGCCCGUGAUUUUAAAUUGUUUAUAACUGCUUUCAUUUAUUUUUUGUUUUAUAUUUUCUGUGUGGUUUUAUAGUUUCACAUUUCAUUAGCUUUUUGCAUCAAGUAUCCAUGGACAUCGACUAUUGGUCCUACGUUUUAUCUACUUAGCAGUGGUGAAACUAGGUAACUACGCUCCUACCUACAGCAGAAAACUUGCUCCACCUGGAAAAGGGCCUUUCUGGUUGCAUCUAACAUAUCUCCUUUAUGGCACUUCAACACUAGCAUUGACUCCACUUCACCUGCUCAUUUAGGUCGUCUUGAAUUUUCCGGCGUGCAACCGGACGCCUUUUCAGCCCUCUUCCCGAGGUGGUUUGCCUAGAGCCGAACUGGUCCAGCUCAAAAUCGCGCGUACUAUUAAGCCUGCUGUACACGAGAGCAAUCUGCUGAGCAAAUGGCCUCAAAUGACCAUUUGCUCAGCAGAUAACACGCUGUGUGCACCCAGUGUUCUCUUAAGUUUUCUGCCUGAUGAGACGCUGAGGUGAAAAUUUCACCGGUUUGAUAUUUUCUGCCUCACAGGGGAUAAUAACGUGGUGUGUGUGCACUACAUGAGCUGCCGGCUGAGCUAAAAUAUUCUAGUGGCCAAUCAAAGCACGUUCUCCGCUCACAUGAUUCCAAGAUGUCAGCCAAAAGCAACACACGCUCACAACCAACUUUGUUUAAGGGAGACACCACAGAUUUUUCCGAGCGUCCUUUUCCCCGCCCACGUACUUGGAGAUUUCCCCAUUCCUGAGAAGUGGUUGAACAAACCCUACCGGUGCGGGAGCCGGACCGAACCCUGUUUGGUUUGUGCUGGCCCAGGUGGGAAACUACCUUUUGAUGAGCAAACUCAUUCAGUUCCACCAAUGGUUCAGAUCCUGAUACCAACAGUGUGAGCAAAUGUUGAUUGGCUUGUACUCCUUCCAUGUUCAUCAUGGCAUUUAGCUACUCUAGCUUGCAACUCAGCCAAUUUAAUCCUGUAUCGACUCCUGGAAUUAAGAUCCCCAUCAUCAAAAAACUAGGACUUCUUCGCCACCCCGUUAUAUUCAUAGAGGCUCAGGCAAAAAUUCUUCUUCCGUAACCAGCUGAGCAGCUCGGCUACAAAAAUUCCUACAAACUGCGACAAAUACAGUAUAAAAAAAAAUGUUUAAAGCACAUUAUGAUGUACAGUGGGAUGCAAAAGUUUGGUCAAACUUGUUAAUCUUUAUGAUUUUCAGUUAAAUAUAUCAUAUAAGAAGCACACACGGUGAUAAUUGAGAAAUGAAACAAAUUUCAUAGGAUUUACGUGCAAUAAUUGUUUAAACAAAAUUAGGCAGGUGCAUACAUUUGGGCACUGUUGUCCUUUUAUUGAUUCCAAAACAUUUAGAACUAAUUUUUGGAACUCAAAAUAGGUUUGGUAAACUCUGUGACCCUUGACCUCCAUACACAGGGGAAUUCAAUUAUGAGAAAGCGUAUUUAAGGGGGCCAGUUGUAAGUUUCCCUCCUCUUUGAAUAUUCUCUGAAGAGCAGCAACAUGGGGUCUCAGAACAACUCUCACAUGAGCUUUCCCCCAGUGCAGGGACUGAGAAUCUUGUCAAAGUUGAGGGACACAUUGAUUCCAAUCAAUAUUAGCAGAUUCUGGAGACCAAUGUACGGGAAUCAGUGACAAAGCUGAAGCUGUGCCGUGGCUGGACCUAUAAACGACCCUAAACACUGCUCAGAAUGUACUUAAGACAUUCAUGCAGAGGAACAAAUACAGGAAUGGCCAUCUCAGUCCCCAGACCUGAAUUUAAUUAAAAAUCUGUGGUUUGAGUUAAAGUAUCUUUCCGGAGUUUUCCCCUUUGAGAAUAUAUGUAUGAUUUGUCAGAAAA
This is a non-coding RNA of Nothobranchius furzeri (turquoise killifish), 3596 nucleotides long. NCBI's taxonomy places the organism in Eukaryota, Metazoa, Chordata, Actinopteri, Cyprinodontiformes, Nothobranchiidae. The record is from RefSeq and is a predicted model, not a curated record.